RNAcentral lists this long non-coding RNA (3804 nucleotides) under Canis lupus familiaris (dog). RNAcentral's name for it is "lncRNA (ENSCAFG00000059435.1)". The record is from RNAcentral. Lineage: Eukaryota; Metazoa; Chordata; Mammalia; Carnivora; Canidae.
CUUUUUUUUUUUUUUUUUAAGAUUUUUUAUUUAUUUAUUCAUAGAGAUGCAGAGAGAGAGAGAGAGAGGCAGAGACACAGGCAGAGGGAGAAACAGGCUCCAUGCAGAGAGCCUGACAUGGGACUCUAUCCAGGGUCUCCAGGAUCAUGCCCUGGGCUGCAGGCAGUGCUAAACUGCUCCGCCACUGGGGCUGCCCUGCUCUGGGUUCUGUAGGCUGAUCUGUCCUCCGCUCAGCGCCAUCCAGCUGUCAGAGAAGUGUGUCCACCUCAGGGGGUCCUAGUGUGGCUCUGCUGUGUGGACACCUAGGGAGCCUGGCAGGUGUUCUGUGUCUUCUAACAUGCAAGGGGACGAGGGGAACAGCUGAAUCGGUGUCUACUGGAGACUGCAUGGCUUACCUCCUGAGGAUAUGCGAGCUGGACGACCCUCUGCAGCACAGCCCCCGACGUGGCUGGGGUUUCAUGUCCUCCUGGCAUGCAGGAUGGUAGGCCAGAGUCUGUCUUCCUGAAAGCCGUGCCUGUCAGAAUCCAGCGUGCCUGCAGUUAACACCCCUCUGGAAUCCCGAGCAGUCACUGAGCGUCCUAGCCCCAGGUUUACCUCGCAGAAGGUGAGCACACACCUGUGUGGCUUUUCAGUGUUGAUUUGAUCACAGGUCUAGAUUUGGACACCUGGAUGGGAAGCCGAGGAUGAGCAGAUUUUGUGCUGAGAUGGGAAGCUCAGAAUGACAGUGAGGCGCAGACCUUGCAAACGUGCAUGCAGAUGGCCCAGCAGUGGCUGCAAGCGCAGUAGGCAAGCCUCCAGCGGGCUUCCAGGGCUCCGAAGCCCCCGGGAGGAGGUGGCAUAGGCCUCCCUCAGAGGCACCGUGGAGGAGAGCCACACGCUCAUGAACUGUUAAUGCAGCGGUCAGGCCUGACAACCUUUCCGUUGACUUCUCAGGUUCCCAGGUUCUUGCUGUGUUCCUCAGGCCUGCACAUGUCUGAUCGACGCCUUGUCUUGCUGGGUGUUCACUGGGUGUUGGCUACUGUGCUUCUUGCUGGGCUGAAACCAACACUCACAUGCCCUCCCAAGAGUGGUCGUGUUGAAGGGGAGCUGGGCCUCUGCCACCUGCAUUGGGAGGAGCUCUGCUCCGCUGCAGUCGGGGUCAGCUCCAGACUGGCCAGGACCAGCCAACUUGCAAUGAGUCCUGCUUUCCUAUGUCUCCAGGUAGUUUCCCUUUUAGUCUGUGCAACCCUGCCAGUUCUGUGUGGUUCAUGCCUCCCUGCCACUGAGCCUUGGUUUCUGAGACUUUGAAUCUGGGUAAGACAAGCACUGGGGUCUUGCUUUUCCCUCCUAGAACAGGAACCAUGCAGAUUGGCCUGUGUCCAAGAUUCUGGCAAAGCAGGAUGUCAGGAGUUCUAUUCUGUCUGCAGGGCACAGAGGUCAAAUGGAGAUCCCACUACAUCCCCUUGGGCAUGGGUGCGCCAGGCUCCCCGGAACUGGAAGUGUAAAAGCAGCAGCUUCUUCCCUAGCACCUGGCCAGGAUGACCACACAGGCAGCCAGAGUGUAGUGCAGUCUGCAGUGUUUGCCUUUCCUUCUCUCUGCGGUGCACAGGGUGCCAGACAGUGUUAGAGAACCGACUUCCUCUGUCCGCUCAGAGCUGAGGUGACACGGUCGUCAUAGAGAUGCCACUAGAUCAGAACCCAAAGUUUGCAGUGACUGAAGGCACAAAACAUUGUUGCUAGAUCUGGGUUAAGCUUCCAAGCAUUCUAGAAUGCAUAUCCCUGUAGCACCAUUUUCUGUGUAUUUUCAAAUUCACUUAGGAUAGCACCGCUCAAUAGGAACCACGAGAUUAGGUACAGCCUUGUUUAGUAAGCUGUUCUGGGAAGAAUAUGUGUACAAGAAACUCUCAGAUGUCCUGUAAAUCCUCUUGACUCAGCCCCAAACAUAAACUUCCCCUAUGUGCUGGCAUGGCAGACAGCUUGUACACUGGUUCUGGACGUGCUGGGUGCAGGCUGUAGACAUGAACCAACACAUCAGAGUGGCCAACAGGAUGGUGGCAUCCACAUUGUGUGGGCUGGACCUUCUGCUGGGAUUCUGUUUUGAAUUCCUGAUGUUGGUCCCUGCUCAGGCCCAUGGCUUGUAAAUUGGCACAUGGCUACAUUCCUGCACCACACAUCAUUAGGAUCAGGAAGGUUUGUGAGGAGUCAGUGGCUGCCAUCCCACUCCCAUGCUCAUCUGUGUCUUCAAAGCAGGUUUUAUUAGAGUAUAUUAAUCUUGGUCACAAAGCCAAGAAUAAUUGCAUGUAUUUUAGUUACCAGGAGAAAAGCAGGGAAGAACCAUCCAGAAAUGUCAUUGAGAAAUGACAAGGUCUGUGGCAGAUUCUUGUCUGAAUUCUAUGGAUGCAAACCAACAGAGCCUGAAAGUGUGCUACAUACAGCCUCAGAGCACUAUAUUAAAGUAUGUGUGUGAAUGCCCGUGUGUGCGAUUGUGUUUGUACAUGUGCAAGUCUGAGUGCACAUGUGAAGUGUGUGUUUGUGUGUGUGUGUGAGUGCAUGUGUGUGUGUGCCUGUUCACAAGCUAUUAGGCUAUAAGGUCUUUUUUUUUUUUUUUUAAAGAUUUUAUUUAUUCACGAGAGACACAGCGGAAGAGAGAGGCAGAGACAGGCAGAGGGAGAAGCAGGCUCCAUGGAAGGGAGCCAGAUGUGGGACUCGAUCCCGGGUCUCCCAAGAUCAUAACCCUGGGCUGAAGGUGGCACUAAACUGCUGAGCAACCUGGGCUGUCCAACUAUAGGGUCUUUUUAAAAAAUAUUAGAGGGGGAAAAAAAUAUUAAGAGGGAUGUCUGGGUGGUUCCACGGUUGAGCACCUGCCUUUAGCCCAGGGUGUGAUCCGGGGUCCUGGGAUCUAGUCCCGCAUCAAGCUCCCCACAGGGAGUCUGUUUCUCUCUCUGCCUGUGUCUCUGCCUAUCUGUGUCUCUCAUGAAUAAAUAAAAUCUUAAAAAAAUAAAAUAUUAGAGCACCCACGAGCAGUGGGGAGGGGUAGAGGGAGAGGGAGAAACAAGCUCUCUGCUGAGCAGGGAGCCUGAUAUGGGGCUGUAUCCCAGGACCCUGGGAUCAUGUCCUGAGCCAAAGAAAGACACCUAACUGACCGAGCCACCCGGGGUUCCCCAGGCUAUGAUGUCUUAAGGCACAACAUUCAUAACCAAGCCAUCUGGGCAUUGCCACUGACCCUUUUGUUGUUUUGGUUCCAUUUUGAGAAGUCUCAACCAUCAAGGUUAGGGAGGAGGCAGGAUUUGAAGAUCAGGCCCUAUAUAGUUUCAAAGCUGUGCUUUUUUGGGUAGAAACACAAUGGAGACUUCUGACCCUUUUCUGUAAUGAAAUAAUGUUGAAAAUGUUCUGAUGCACAGCAAUGUCUAGACACCACCCCCACCCCGGAAUCUGUGGUAACAGGUUGGGUCUGGAGUCUACCCUUGCCCCUCCUCUUACAGGGGCCCUGGUCUCUGUGCCUAUGUGAUAAAAUGGAGGGCAUGAGGGUGUCAGAAUCGAGAGAGGGCUUGGGGGAGAGAUUUUUCUGACCCUUGGCAUAGAGACUGCCUGCAAAAAGAAAAAAACAACUACCUCUGGGAAAGAGGAGAAUCUGAUUUCCAGAGUUACUAUAUGGUUAGAUUCAAAAGUCCAGUUUGCAACAAAGUCACAAGGCACACAAAAACAGGAAAGUGUGGCCCAUUUAAAGGAAAAAAAGAUACCAUCCCUGAGAAAGACCUGAUGGCAGUUCUACUAGACAAAGACUUUAAAGCAACUGUCUUGCUCCUCAACUAAUGAAAGAAGUGG